GUGAUUCUCCUGCCUCAGCCUCCUGAGUAGCUGGGGUUAUAGCCAUGGACUCCUGGAGAGACGCCUUGGAGGGAACCUGCGAAAAGAUACCAGCAAGAAACAACUCGGAGUUUCAGAUUACUUCCAACCAGGACAGCCUACAAGAUAGCAGUACAAUCGGGAGAAUUGGGCAAUGUAAUUAUAGUAUGGAAAUGAUGUUGAUCACUCAAGCAGAGUGUAGACCUUGAAUCUAAAACCUUGCUCUGUCUUCCCACCCAUUUUCCAUGGCUCGCACUUGAAGCUGUAGCCACCACACC
Molecule: non-coding RNA, 296 nt
Organism: Macaca mulatta (Rhesus monkey)
Lineage: Eukaryota; Metazoa; Chordata; Mammalia; Primates; Cercopithecidae
Source: RefSeq, a predicted model, not a curated record